UACGAGGGGAGCAAGCGUUGUUCGGAUUUACUGGGCGUAAAGGGCGCGUAGGCGGUCGUGACAAGUCACUUGUGAAAUCUCCGGGCUUAACUCGGAACGGUCAAGUGAUACUGUCGGACUAGAGUACAGAAGGGGCAACUGGAAUUCUCGGUGUAGCGGUGAAAUGCGUAGAUAUCAGGAGGAACACCGGUGGCGAAGGCGGGUCUCUGGGCCGAUACUGACACUGAGGAGCGAAAGCGUGGGGAGCGAACAGG
This 254-nucleotide ribosomal RNA is filed under the name uncultured bacterium. Its description in RNAcentral is "partial 16S ribosomal RNA". It matches the Rfam family "Bacterial small subunit ribosomal RNA", at positions 524 to 776 of the family's 1533-position model. The record is from RNAcentral.